Molecule: ribosomal RNA, 253 nt
Filed under: uncultured bacterium
Lineage: Bacteria
Description: partial 16S ribosomal RNA
Rfam family: Bacterial small subunit ribosomal RNA
Source: RNAcentral
GACGGAAGGUGCAAGCGUUGCUCGGAAUCACUGGGCGGAAAGGGUGCGUAGGCGGCCGUGCAAGUCUGGCGUGAAAGCCCCGGGCUCAGCCCGGGAAGUGCGCUCGAAACUGCGCGGCUCGAGUGCCGGAGGGGAGAGUGGAAUUCCUGGUGUAGCGGUGAAAUGCGUAGAUAUCAGGAGGAACACCAGUGGCGAAGGCGAGUCCCUGGACGAUACCUGACACUGAGGCACGAAAGCUAGGGGAGCAAACAGG